Non-coding RNA from Pelobates cultripes (western spadefoot toad), 298 nucleotides. The record is from the annotation of a GenBank genome assembly. NCBI's taxonomy places the organism in Eukaryota, Metazoa, Chordata, Amphibia, Anura, Pelobatidae.
GAGGGGGUGACUAGUGACAGAGUGAGGGAGGGAAGUGGUGACUAGUGACAGAGUGAGGGAGGGAAGUGGUGACUAGUGACAGAGGGAGGGGUGACUAGGGACAGAGUGAGGGAGGUGGUGACUAGUGACAGUCACCACCUCCCUCACUCUGUCACCAUUCACCACCUCCCUCACUCUGUCACUGUGUCACCCCCUCCCUCUGUCACUGGUCACCCACUCCCUCACUCUGUCACUAGUCACCCCUUCCCUCACUCUGUCACUAGUCACCCCCCUCACUCUGUCACUAGUCACCCCCCUC